RNAcentral lists this ribosomal RNA (407 nucleotides) under uncultured bacterium. RNAcentral's name for it is "partial 16S ribosomal RNA". It matches the Rfam family "Bacterial small subunit ribosomal RNA", at positions 30 to 526 of the family's 1533-position model. The record is from RNAcentral.
AUUGAACGCUGGCGGCAGGCCUAACACAUGCAAGUCGAGCGGAGCGGCGGACGGGUGCGUAAUGCCUAGGAAUCUGCCUGGUAGUGGGGGAUAACGUCCGGAAACGGGCGCUAAUCUCGCAUACUAUCAGAUGACCCUAGGUCGGAUUAGCUAGUUGGUGGGGUAAAGGCCUACAAAGGCGGCGAUCCGUAACUGGUCUGAGAGGAGGAUCAGUCACACGGGAAGUGAGAAACGGUCCAGAGUCCUACGGGAGGCAGCAGUGGGGAAUAUUGGACAAUGGGCGAAAGCCUGAUGCAGCCAUGCCGCGUGUGGGAAGAAGGUCUUCGGAUUGUAAAGCACGUUAAGUUGGGAGGCGUUACCAACAGAAUAAGCACCGGCUAACUUCGUGCCAGCAGCCGCGGUAAUUC